AGGUACAGCGAAAUCGCGAAAUGAGCGAGAUAGCGAGGGCGUAGUGGCAGUUUGUGGAGAGCAAGGAAUGAACAGUGCAGGACAGAGGUGAUGAGGGACAGGUCAGUGCAAAGAAGAAGAAGUGGAGGAGAAAGUGCACGACAGAGGUGAUGAGAGACAGCUCAGAGCAAAGAAGAAGUGGAGGAGAAAGUGCAGGACAGAGGUGAUGAGAGACAGGUCAGGGCAUAGAAGAAGAGGAGGAGAGAGAAGAGGAGAAGCAGCAGCACUA
Molecule: long non-coding RNA, 268 nt
Filed under: Physcomitrium patens
Lineage: Eukaryota; Viridiplantae; Streptophyta; Bryopsida; Funariales; Funariaceae
Description: long non-coding RNA (PPAT_LNC006722)
Source: RNAcentral